UACGGGGGGGGCAAGCGUUGUUCGGAAUUACUGGGCGUAAAGGGCUCGUAGGCGGCCAACUAAGUCAGACGUGAAAUCCCUCGGCUUAACCGGGGAACUGCGUCUGAUACUGGAUGGCUUGAGUUUGGGAGAGGGAUGCGGAAUUCCAGGUGUAGCGGUGAAAUGCGUAGAUAUCUGGAGGAACACCGGUGGCGAAGGCGGCAUCCUGGACCAACACUGACGCUGAGUGAGCGAAAGCCAGGGGAGCAAACUGG
RNAcentral lists this ribosomal RNA (254 nucleotides) under uncultured bacterium. RNAcentral describes it as "partial 16S ribosomal RNA". It matches the Rfam family "Bacterial small subunit ribosomal RNA", at positions 524 to 776 of the family's 1533-position model. The record is from RNAcentral.